Danaus plexippus (monarch butterfly) is the source of this 1000-nucleotide long non-coding RNA. RefSeq lists it as uncharacterized. The transcript is spliced from 2 exons. The record is from RefSeq and is a predicted model, not a curated record. NCBI's taxonomy places the organism in Eukaryota, Metazoa, Arthropoda, Insecta, Lepidoptera, Nymphalidae.
AUGUCCAGCACCCCCCAUUACUGAAUUUCCUAUAACUGACUAAAAAACUCAUCAGCCUUCCCCUAGCAAACGAAAUAUAACCUUAACUUAUAACAAUACAGUCGAUUUUGCAACAGAUCGGAGUAAGCGUUCAGUCAUUUCUCCAACUACCCGGUUUGAUACAAGGCUAUGAGAACGUAUAAUUUAAAGACGGAGCUGAUCGACUGCGAGUGUCAUAUAUCCGUCUCGCUCGCACCCAUACAGACGAAACAUCUCACUCAAUAGAGCUGCUCAUUUUUUGCUAUUGUAUUGAAUUACUUAUUAUUUUCUGAAUUAUAUUGUAUGGUGUCGUAUUUGGUUCCUACCUGAUGAAGAUGGAUUCGGGAAUCAGACACCGUAAUGGACAUGAGCGGUGGUAACGACGAACAACAACAGAUAUAGCAGUGGUAGCGUCAAGUGUGGGAGAUACGAAGACACCACCACCACCGCCACUAGAGGAAUGUUCAGCAGACUGACACCGUCGCAUCGCUGACCGCUCAUCUCCGACACGAUGAGACGGCUCUGGAAUACAUUUGGAAUACAAAUGGAAUCCAAUUCCAUUAACGGGAAUUUUAUAAUUGUACCACAUUCUGUUACGACUCCAACACACAGCUCUACAUAGAGACCUCGUAAAGAAACUAGAUCGUUUAUAAUAUUAACAUGAAAAUAUAAAAUUAAGUUAUUUUUUUAAGUAAUUGUAAUAAAAUAAAAUAUAUAUAACGUAUUAUGUACCGCUAUGUUACUGAAUAUUGUCCCAAAAGCCAGGAGGAAGGCUCUGGGGUCUUGUUCCAGGGCAUCUGUCUUCAGAGCCCAGAGUGUGGAGGUGAUCGUCAGUACCGUCAUGGGAUACAGCGGACGGAGAGCCUCCCUCAGAGACAACAUCUUACCUGUCCUGUUCCUGUGUGAUCUGGGAACGGAUUCCAUUUAAACCAUCAACUUAUUUACAGUAACGAAAUUAUAUUAGCAAUUUUUCUUCCUUUAA